This 911-nucleotide ribosomal RNA is filed under the name Penicillium glabrum. Its description in RNAcentral is "LSU rRNA". It matches the Rfam family "Eukaryotic large subunit ribosomal RNA", at positions 35 to 965 of the family's 3401-position model. The record is from RNAcentral. Lineage: Eukaryota; Fungi; Ascomycota; Eurotiomycetes; Eurotiales; Aspergillaceae.
UAAGCAUAUCAAUAAGCGGAGGAAAAGAAACCAACAGGGAUUACCUCAGUAACGGCGAGUGAAGCGGUAAGAGCUCAAAUUUGAAAGCUGGCUCCUUCGGGGUCCGCAUUGUAAUUUGCAGAGGAUGUUUCGGGAGCAGCCCCCAUCUAAGUGUCCUGGAACGGACCGUCAUAGAGGGUGAGAAUCCCGUAUGGGAUGGGGUGUCUGCGCCCAUGUGAAACUCCUUCGACGAGUCGAGUUGUUUGGGAAUGCAGCUCUAAAUGGGUGGUAAAUUUCAUCUAAAGCUAAAUAUUGGCCGGAGACCGAUAGCGCACAAGUAGAGUGAUCGAAAGAUGAAAAGCACUUUGAAAAGAGAGUUAAAAAGCACGUGAAAUUGUUGAAAGGGAAGCGCUUGCGAUCAGACUCGCCUUGGGGGUUCAGCCGGCAUUCGUGCCGGUGUACUUCCCCCAGGGCGGGCCAGCGUCGGUUUGGGUGGCCGGUCAAAGGCCCUUGGAAUGUAACGCCUCUCGGGGCGUCUUAUAGCCAAGGGUGCCAUGCGGCCUACCUGGACCGAGGAACGCGCUUCGGCUCGGACGCUGGCAUAAUGGUCGUAAGCGACCCGUCUUGAAACACGGACCAAGGAGUCUAACAUCUACGCGAGUGUUCGGGUGUCAAACCCGUGCGCGCAGUGAAAGCGAACGGAGGUGGGAACCCUUUGGGUGCACCAUCGACCGAUCCUGAUGUCUUCGGAUGGAUUUGAGUAAGAGCGUAGCUGUUGGGACCCGAAAGAUGGUGAACUAUGCCUGAAUAGGGCGAAGCCAGAGGAAACUCUGGUGGAGGCUCGCAGCGGUUCUGACGUGCAAAUCGAUCGUCGAAUUUGGGUAUAGGGGAGAAAGACUAAUCGAACCAUCUAGUAGCUGGUUCCUGCCAAU